AGUCAAGUAAUUAAGUGCAUGUGGUGGAUGCCUUGGCAGUCAGAGGCGAUGAAAGACGUGAUAGCCUGCGAAAAGCUCCGGGGAGGCGGCAAAUAUCCUUUGAUCCGGAGAUGUCUGAAUGGGGGAACCCACCUACUUUAAGGUAGGUAUUGCAACAUGAAUACAUAGUGUUGCAAGGCGAACGAGGGGAAGUGAAACAUCUCAGUACCCUUAGGAAAAGAAAUCAAUUGAGAUUCCCUCAGUAGCGGCGAGCGAACGGGGAUCAGCCCAUUAAGUUAUGUGUGUUUUAGUGGAACGCUCUGGGAAGUGCGAACGUAGAGGGUGAUAUUCCCGUACACGAAAGGGCACACAUAAUGAUGACGAGUAGGGCGAGGCACGUGAAACCUUGUCUGAAUAUGGGGGGACCAUCCUCCAAGGCUAAAUACUCCUGACUGACCGAUAGUGAACCAGUACCGUGAGGGAAAGGCGAAAAGAACCCCUGUGAGGGGAGUGAAAUAGAUCCUGAAACCGCAUGCAUACAAGCAGUGGGAGCACCUUCGUGGUGUGACUGCGUACCUUUUGUAUAAUGGGUCAGCGACUUAUAUUCAGUAGCAAGGUUAACCGUAUAGGGGAGCCGUAGAGAAAUCGAGUCUUAAUAGGGCGUUUAGUUGCUGGGUAUAGACCCGAAACCAGGCGAUCUAUCCAUGAGCAGGUUGAAGGUUGGGUAACACUAACUGGAGGACCGAACCCACUGUCGUUGAAAAGCCAGGGGAUGACUUGUGGAUAGGGGUGAAAGGCUAAUCAAGCCUGGUGAUAGCUGGUUCUCCCCGAAAGCUAUUUAGGUAGCGCCUCGGACGAAUACCAUAGGGGGUAGAGCACUGUUUCGGCUAGGGGGUCAUCCCGACUUACCAAACCGAUGCAAACUCCGAAUACCUAUGAGUACUAUCCGGGAGACAGACUGCGGGUGCUAACGUCCGUAGUCAAGAGGAAAACAAUCCAGACCGCCAGCUAAGGCCCCAAAAUCAUAGUUAAGUGGGAAACGAUGUGGGAAGGCAUAGACAGCUAGGAGGUUGGCUUAGAAGCAGCCACCCUUUAAAGAAAGCGUAAUAGCUCACUAGUCGAGUCGGCCUGCGCGGAAGAUGUAACGGGGCUAAAACUAUGUGCCGAAGCUGCGGAUGUAUACUUUGUAUACGUGGUAGGGGAGCGUUCUGUAAGCCGAUGAAGGUGUGUUGAGAAGCAUGCUGGAGGUAUCAGAAGUGCGAAUGCUGACGUGAGUAACGACAAAACGGGUGAAAAACCCGUUCGCCGAAAGACCAAGGGUUCCAGUCCAACGUUAAUCGGGGCUGGGUGAGUCGACCCCUAAGGCGAGGCCGAAAGGCGUAGUCGAUGGGAAAAUGGUUAAUAUUCCAUUACUUCUGUGUAAUGCGAUGAGAGGACGGAGAAGGCUAAAUCAGCCUGGCGUUGGUUGUCCAGGUGAAAGGAUGUAGGCAUGUAUCUUAGGCAAAUCCGGGGUACUCUAUGCUGAGAUCUGAUAGCAAGCUGUACUUGUACAGCGAAGUGGUUGAUGCCAUGCUUCCAGGAAAAGUCUCUAAGCUUCAGUUACACAGGAAUCGUACCCGAAACCGACACAGGUGGUCAGGUCGAGUAGACCAAGGCGCUUGAGAGAACUCUGCUGAAGGAACUAGGCAAAAUGGUACCGUAACUUCGGGAGAAGGUACGCUGUUGUUGGUGAUGGAACUUGCUUCCUGAGCUGACGACAGCCGCAGAAACCAGGCCGCUGCAACUGUUUAUUAAAAACAUAGCACUCUGCAAACACGAAAGUGGACGUAUAGGGUGUGAUGCCUGCCCGGUGCUGGAAGGUUAAUUGAUGGGGUUAGCGUAAGCGAAGCUCUUGAUCGAAGCCCCAGUAAACGGCGGCCGUAACUAUAACGGUCCUAAGGUAGCGAAAUUCCUUGUCGGGUAAGUUCCGACCUGCACGAAUGGCAUAAUGAUGGCGGCGCUGUCUCCAGCAGAGGCUCAGUGAAAUCGAAAUCGCUGUGAAGAUGCAGUGUACCCGCGGCUAGACGGAAAGACCCCGUGAACCUUUACUGCAGCUUGACACUGAACUUUGACCUUACUUGUGUAGGAUAGGUGGGAGGCUUUGAAGCUGGAACGCUAGUUCCAGUGGAGCCGUCCUUGAAAUACCACCCUGGUAAUGUUGAGGUUCUAACUCUGUCCCGUGAUCCGGGACGAGGACCGUGUCUGGUGGGUAGUUUGACUGGGGCGGUCUCCUCCUAAAGAGUAACGGAGGAGUACGAAGGUGCGCUCAGCGUGGUCGGAAAUCACGCGUAGAGUAUAAAGGCAAAAGCGCGCUUAACUGCGAGACCCACAAGUCGAGCAGGUACGAAAGUAGGUCUUAGUGAUCCGGUGGUUCUGUAUGGAAGGGCCAUCGCUCAACGGAUAAAAGGUACUCUGGGGAUAACAGGCUGAUACCGCCCAAGAGUUCAUAUCGACGGCGGUGUUUGGCACCUCGAUGUCGGCUCAUCUCAUCCUGGGGCUGAAGCAGGUCCCAAGGGUAUGGCUGUUCGCCAUUUAAAGAGGUACGCGAGCUGGGUUUAGAACGUCGUGAGACAGUUCGGUCCCUAUCUACCGUGGGCGCUGGAAAUUUGAGAGGAUCUGCUCCUAGUACGAGAGGACCAGAGUGGACGAACCUCUGGUGUACCGGUUGUGACGCCAGUCGCAUCGCCGGGUAGCUAUGUUCGGAAGGGAUAACCGCUGAAAGCAUCUAAGCGGGAAGCCUACCUCAAGAUAAGAUUUCCCUAGGACUUUAUGUCCUCUAAAGAGCCGUUCGAGACUAGGACGUUGAUAGGUUGGAUGUGGAAGCAUAGUGAUAUGUGAAGCUGACCAAUACUAAUUGCUCGUGAGGCUUGACUAU
RNAcentral lists this ribosomal RNA (2893 nucleotides) under Acinetobacter baumannii. RNAcentral's name for it is "23S ribosomal RNA". It matches the Rfam family "Bacterial large subunit ribosomal RNA". The record is from RNAcentral. Lineage: Bacteria; Pseudomonadati; Pseudomonadota; Gammaproteobacteria; Moraxellales; Moraxellaceae.